This 73-nucleotide transfer RNA is filed under the name Diaporthe caulivora. RNAcentral describes it as "tRNA-Gln". RNAcentral also lists the same sequence under 4 other names. The record is from RNAcentral. Lineage: Eukaryota; Fungi; Ascomycota; Sordariomycetes; Diaporthales; Diaporthaceae.
UAUCUUGUGGACUAAUGGGUAAGUCUAGAAUUUUUGGUGUUCUACAAUGUGCGUUCGAAUCGCGCCAAGAUAA